CCGGGACCAGUUGCUCAGCUUGGUGGCCAGCGAGCAGCCGUUCGUGUAGGCGUCGGGCCGGACGUGGGCGGGGAAGCGGCGAGACAGGAUCUCCGCCACCAGCUUUUCCCAAGUCAAGUUUGAAAAGCACUCUGCACACCUGAAGAAAAUGAGUAUCUACUAAGCUGUGGUGUGACCAUGCAGCAGCAAGGAAGACAGCAGAUACAAUGACAACUGCCCUGGCUUGGGAGAGGAAGACUCCCAGGA
Long non-coding RNA from Lagopus muta (rock ptarmigan), 246 nucleotides. RefSeq lists it as uncharacterized. The transcript is spliced from 4 exons. Lineage: Eukaryota; Metazoa; Chordata; Aves; Galliformes; Phasianidae. The record is from RefSeq and is a predicted model, not a curated record.